Molecule: unclassified non-coding RNA, 145 nt
Filed under: soil metagenome
Description: partial internal transcribed spacer 1
Source: RNAcentral
UAAUAAGUGUUUUAUGGCACCUUUUAAAUCCAUAUCCACCUUGUGUGCAAUGUCGGUCGAUCUUCUUCAUGGAGAUCGACCAAACAUCAACCUUUAUCUUUUAACUCUUUGUCUGAAAAAUAUUAUGAAUAAACAAUUCAAAAUA